CCCUUAGAUGUCCGGGGCCGCACGCGCGCUACACUGAUGCAUUCAACGAGCCUAUCCUUGACCGACAGGUCCGGGUAAUCUUUGAAUCUGCAUCGUGACGGGGAUAGAUUAUUGCAAUUAUUAAUCUUCAACGAGGAAUGCCUAGUAGGCGCAAGUCAUCAGCUUGCGUCGAUUACGUCCCUGCCCUUUGUACACACUGCCCGUCGCUCCUACCGAUUGGGUGUGCUGGUGAAAUGUUCGGAUCGGCCGUUUGUCGCGGUUUCCGCGUCAUGUGGCUGGGAAGUUCAUUAAACCCUCCCACCUAGAGGAAGGAGAAGUCGUAACA
RNAcentral lists this ribosomal RNA (325 nucleotides) under uncultured eukaryote. RNAcentral describes it as "partial 18S ribosomal RNA". It matches the Rfam family "Eukaryotic small subunit ribosomal RNA", at positions 1470 to 1796 of the family's 1831-position model. The record is from RNAcentral.